Molecule: ribosomal RNA, 358 nt
Filed under: Eudorylas bermeri
Lineage: Eukaryota; Metazoa; Arthropoda; Insecta; Diptera; Pipunculidae
Description: partial 12S ribosomal RNA
Source: RNAcentral
UAUUAAAAAUUUAAUUUAAAAUAUUUAAGUAGUAUUAGUUAAGGUCUUUAAAUUUAAAAAAUUUGGCGGUAUUUUAGUCUAUUCAGAGGAACCUGUUUUGUAAUCGAUAAUCCACGAUGGAUCUUACUUAAAUUUAUUUUAGUUUAUAUAUCGUCGUUAUAAGAAUAUUUUAUAAGAAUAAUAAUUUUCUUGAUUUUUUAUUUUAAAAUAUAUCAGAUCAAGAUGUAGCUUAUGUUUAAGUUUAUAAUGGGUUACAUUUAUUAUAAUAUUGGAAAUUAAUAUGUAAUUUAUUUUUUAAAAUUGGAUUUGAUAGUAAAUUUAUAUAGAUUAAUAAAUUGAUUAUAGCUCUAAAAUAUGU